AUUAGAUCCAACUCAGCCAUCUGGGAGGCUCUGCUCCUAGGCUGUCUUUCUUCUGUCCCUUGGCCCAGGAUCUGUGCAGCCCAAGUCAGACAAGAGAACCACGCCUAGAUGAUUGCAGCUGCUGCAAGAUUUUAACUGUUUCCUCCCUCCCAGAGGAAGCUCGGCCACUCAUUACUGUGUGCUGGCGCUGGAUGGCAGCCAGAUGCGAUGACGACAAGGCAGCUAGAGUACUCAGGCUCAGGACAGCCGGCUCAGGCUCAGGCUGCCUCCCCAGGUCCAGCCCUGAAACUUCUAUUCUUAUGUGAAUCAUCUGAACCCCAUAGGCUCUGCUGAAGACCACGUGUCUCUGUGCCUGCUCUGGAAAGGACAGAAGAUUCCUGAGCUCUGUUAUAAGCCUGUGUGGCUUUGUGUGGUCUGACAAGCGACAUUUUUUUUUGUUUUCAUUUUUAAAGAGAAGUAAAAUGUAAGGACUUCAACACCAGGACAGCCAUUCAUCUACUCCCAUCUCAUAGAACUGGACAUGAGGAAUUAAAAGAAAUUAAAGAACGUGUAAGCAAAAAUUCAUUGUAUG
Homo sapiens (human) is the source of this 571-nucleotide long non-coding RNA. NCBI's taxonomy places the organism in Eukaryota, Metazoa, Chordata, Mammalia, Primates, Hominidae. The record is from Ensembl.